This 372-nucleotide ribosomal RNA is filed under the name uncultured organism. Its description in RNAcentral is "partial 16S ribosomal RNA". It matches the Rfam family "Bacterial small subunit ribosomal RNA", at positions 527 to 896 of the family's 1533-position model. The record is from RNAcentral.
GUAGGGGGCAAGCGUUAUCCGGAUUUACUGGGCGUAAAGCGCGUGCAGGCGGCUUGGUAGGUUGGACGUGAAAGCUCUCGGCUCAACUGAGAGAGGCCGUUCAAUACCGCCAGGCUUGAGGGCGGAAGAGGAGAGUGGAAUUCCCGGUGUAGUGGUGGAAUGCGUAGAUAUCGGGAGGAACACCCGUGGCGAAGGCGGCUCUCUGGUCCGUACCUGACGCUAAAGCGCGAAAGCGUGGGGAGCAAACGGGAUUAGAUACCCCGGUAGUCCACGCUGUAAACGAUGGAUGCUAGGUGUAGGUGGUAUUGACCCCCAUCUGUGCCGUAGCUAACGCGAUAAGCAUCCCGCCUGGGGACUACGGCCGCAAGGUUA